GUCCGCCGGGGAGUAAAGACCGCAAGGUUGAAACUCAAAGGAAUUGAUGGGGGCCCGCACAAGCGGGGAGCAUGUGGUUUAAUUGGAAGCUACGCGAGGAACCUUACCAGGUCUUGACAUCUUGCGCCAACCCUAGAGAUAGGGCGUUUCCUUUGGGAAGGCAAAGACAGGUGGUGCAUGGUCGUCGUCAGAUAGUAUCGUGAGAUGUUGGGUUAAGUCCCGCAACGAGCGCAACCCUUGUUAUUAAGUGCCAGCAUUCAGUUGGGCACUUUAGUGAGACGACCGGUGACAAACCGGAGGAAGGUGGGGAAGACGUCAGAUCAUCAUGCCCCUUAUGACCUGGGCUACACACGUGCUACAAUGGACGGUACAACGAGUCGCGAACUCGCGAGGGCAAGAUAAUCUCUUAAAACCGUUUUCAGUUCGGACUGCAGGCUGCAACUCGCCUGCACGAAGUCGGAAUCGCUAGUAAUCGUGGAUCAGCAUGCCGCGGUGAAUACGUUCCCGGGCCUUGUACACACCGCCCGUCACACCAUGAGAGUUUGCAACACCCAAAGUCGGUGGGGUAACCCUUCGGGGAGCUAGCCGCCUAAGUGGGGC
This 600-nucleotide ribosomal RNA is filed under the name Limosilactobacillus mucosae. RNAcentral's name for it is "bacterial SSU rRNA". It matches the Rfam family "Bacterial small subunit ribosomal RNA", at positions 867 to 1468 of the family's 1533-position model. Lineage: Bacteria; Bacillati; Bacillota; Bacilli; Lactobacillales; Lactobacillaceae. The record is from RNAcentral.